Panicum hallii is the source of this 815-nucleotide long non-coding RNA. RefSeq lists it as uncharacterized. The transcript has 2 exons. The record is from RefSeq and is a predicted model, not a curated record. Lineage: Eukaryota; Viridiplantae; Streptophyta; Magnoliopsida; Poales; Poaceae.
UGGGCGACUCAAACCCGAUAGCGAAUCAGGAAAAAACUAAAAAGGAUGCGAGCGAGGUGGGAGCGGCGAUUGGAAGAGCCAGUCCGCCGGUGGCGGAUCCCCGCCAGGGAGAGCCGUGCGGAGGGAGGGCGGAGUCGACCGCUGGGGCACACAGGCCGGACCCGAUCCGCCGGCGACGAGGAGCCGGAGAAGAGGUGCGCGGCCCUGCUCGCAACAUGGGGCGGCAGAUCCUGCCAGGGAAGCAACGGAGGGGAGGGCGGAGCCGCCCGCUGGGGCGCACAGGCCGGACCCGAUCCACCAGCGAUGAGGAACCGGAGAAGAUGGGCGCGGCCCUGCUCGUGGCGUGGGGCGGUGGAUCCCGCCGGGGAAGCAACGGAGGGGAGGGCGGAGCCAGCUUGCGGACGACGACACCCGGCCGGAAAAAGAUACACGCCUCCGGAGGCCACAAUUUUUUUCAACGGUCAUCGGGCUCGAGCGCGUGAGUCGCUGGUCGAAAGCCCAAAUUCGCGAAAUCCCCAGAGCCGCCGUGGCGUCGCACUCUUCCGCACAGUCGUCCUCCUCCGCCACCCUCUCCCACGCUCUUUCCUCUCAGGCAAGCACUUCCGCUCGAGCUGCGUCCUUUGCCUCGGUCGUCUCAUAACUGUUGGCAACAAGCUCUGCCUUCAUUUUUGUGAUCUAGCUUGUUGGACCUCUGGCUUGAGCAGCGAUCUGAAAUUCCUUCAGUUUUCUGCUCCAAUUUGAUGUCCUGACAAAUGAAUUUUGAGCCGUGGUCUGAGCUCACGCUCGUUUGCCUUCAUCCAAGCUUCUCCCAAACU